GACGAACGCUGGCGGCGUGCCUAAUACAUGCAAGUCGAACGCAGUGGGGACGGGUGAGUAACACGUGGGUAACCUCCCAUCAGAGGGGAUAACACUUGGAAACAGGUGCUAAACCGAUACUGAUGGAUGGACCCGCGGUGCAUUAGCUAGUUGGUGAGGUAACGGCUCACCAAGGCCACGAUGCAUAGCGGACCGGGGAGGUUGACCGGCCACAUGGGGAUGGAGACACGGCCCAGACCCCUACGGGAGGCAGCAGUAGGGAAUCUUGGGCAAUGGACAAAAGUCUGACCGAGCAACGCCGCGGGAGGGAAGAAGUUUUUCGGACCGUAAACCUUGGUUGUUAAAGAAGCGGUAUCUAACCAGAAAGCCACGGCUAACUACGUGCCAGCCGCCGCGGUAAUAC
Molecule: ribosomal RNA, 403 nt
Filed under: uncultured bacterium
Lineage: Bacteria
Description: partial 16S ribosomal RNA
Rfam family: Bacterial small subunit ribosomal RNA
Source: RNAcentral